AAGUUCUUGAUCUCAUGGAUAAAAGAUUGAAGAGGCUAGAGAGAUGGCUCAGUGGUUAAGAGCCUGCAUGACUCGUCCAGAGGAUCUGAGCUUGGUUUCAAGUGCCCAUUAUCAGGGCAACUCCCAGCUGACUGUGCAGUGCCCUCUUUGGCAUCCGUAGGCAGCAGCACUCACAUGUGCACACAUCCUCCUCACUACUCCCCACCACAAUAAAAAUAAAUCCUUUUAAAAAAAUGUGCUUUGAAGGGUAUAUUUUACUAGAGUCAGUAAGAAAAGGCAGGGCAGGCAAGCUAGAGAUCUCAGCAUUGUCAUGAGGAAGGAAAUGUAAAGAAGACAAAAAGGAAAAAGUCACAUCCUUAAAUAGAACAGGAGGAAAACGACCUCUUGGGGGACAGGUGACUCACGGAAGAACUGGGGUAUUCAGAGCCCAUCACCAAACUGCCCUCCUUGGUAGACGUACUUUAUGGGGCGGUCUCACUGCAGCCCAGGUGGCCUGGGAUUAGCAGCCAUCCUGAACGCUGCUUUUAUAGACCAGAAGCUCUACACUUGGAUGGAAAUAGUAAUACUACUUGGUUUAGGUUUGUAAUCAGUCAAGAGUUGCUCUAUGUGGCCUAGGACUCAGAUGUGUUUAAGAUUAGAAAGAAUAAUAACUGUAUGUAGUGUUGUUAGCUUAGUGUCUAGUUUUAUUAGCUUUGGAUCAGGAAGGGAUGAAUAACAGUUUUGAACUAUGUCAAUUUACCUUUAAAAUGGUUUACAAAUUUGUUUAUGGGAGUUCUUACAUGUGUGUGCACACAUACAUCAGAGGACAACCUCAAAUAUUGUUCCUUAGAGUAGUUCACCUUGUUAUUUGAGACAGUCUCUCAUUGGCCUUGAACGUAUAACAAGAUGGCCAGCUUGUCUACUUGUUUUUACCUCCCAGCUUCUACAUCAGUGCUGGGCAUCUGACCUCAGGUCCUUAUGCUAUUAUGGUAAACACUUUGCUGUCUGAGACAUGUCUCUCUAAUCCCAGUUUACCUGUUGGCAAAGGCUAGUUUUGGACUAAUUUGAAGCUCCUGUCAUUGGCUCAUUUUAAAUUUUCCUUAGUUUUUGUUUUGUUUUGUUUUGAGAGUGUGUAUGUGCCCAUCUUGAUGAAGGUACAGAGGUCAGAGGACAGCUUGCCUGAGUUAGGUGAUCAGGGUCCUGCUCAGUCUUGGCAGGAAGCUCCCGCAUCUGUUAAGCCAUUUUCCUAGCCCUCAAAACCUGAGUUUUCAGAAGUUUAACUAUAACGUGUGCUAGAAUUUUUUUUAAUCUUUUUUGGGAGUUUUUGCAAUUUGAUUCUGUAGGUUUAUAGUUAUUAUCGGAAUUAGGAGUUUCCUAGCCCUGCUUUCUUUCUCAUCUCUUUGUGUAACUUCUAUGACAAAAUGUUAGAUCUUUUUGUUAUAGCCCCAGUGGUAUCGGAAGUUCUGGUAGGUUUUUUUCUAUUUGUUUUUGCUCCCAAUUUGUUUUCUCUCAUUUCAGAUUAGGUUUGUUUGUUUGUUCUUUGCUUCUCUGGUGCUCUGGUUCAUUCUCAUUGAUGCCCAUGAUCUAUUGAUAAGAUCAUAUGACAUUUUUAUUUGAAUUAUACAUAUUUCUAUACAAUACAGUCCCUACUUUCUUCCCUCCCAUCCACACUUGUUUUCCCCAUCCUGUUAAGAUGGUCUUGCUAUGCUGGCCUUAAACUAGGUAGCUAGCAUAGGUUGACCUCAAACAUGCAGGCCCUUUGCCAGUCUCCCGAGUGUCAACAUUAUAGGGAUGCACCGUUAUGCCUGGUUCACUUACAGCUUUUAUUCCCAAAGUUCCCAUUUUUCCCCCAUAUUCUAUGUUUUUAUUUGCUAAGACUGUUUAACAUUUGUUUCAAAUGUUCUUCUAAAUACUUGCUGAAGAAUUUUUAUCAGGGCUACUUGCAAAACUUUUGUUAGAUAAUUCUAACAUCUGUAUUGUCUUAGUGUUGGCAUCUAUUAGCUGAUGCUCCCCCACCCCCGCCCACAGCUCUCUUGAGACCUGCCUGAUUCUUUGUAUGACCAGUGAUUUUCUUUUAAAUUAAAAACCUUGAUAAUUUUGUAUUUUAAAUGACCUGUUCUGAAUAUGUAAUUCUUCUAAUACAUACAUGAUUAAGCCAUAGCUUAAACAUUUCUUUCUUUCUUUUUCUUUCUUCAAGACAGGGUUUCUCUGUAUAGUCCCUCUGGCUGUCCUGGAACUUGAUCUAAAGACCAGGCUAGCCUGGAACUCAGGGAUCUGCCUCUCUUUGUCCCCAAGUACUAAAAGGCGUGCAGUACCACUCUUGGCUUUUUGUGGGGGUUUUGAGUCAAUUUCAUGUGGCCUGGAUAGUGUGGCUCCAAAUCCACUUUGUAUAAUAAGAUGACUUUGAACUUUGUUUUGUUUUGUAUUUUUUGAGACAGGAUAUCUCUGUGAAAUUCUGACUGUCUUGGAACUCUAUCUGUAGACCAGACUGGCCUUGAACUCAGAGAUCUGCCUGCCUUUGACUCCUGAAUGCUGCUGGGAUUAAAGGCAUAAACCACCAUUCCUGAUUUUCCUCUUUCCAGUCUUUCAAGUGGUGGAAUCACAGAUGUUUGCCACCAGGCUUGGCUUGAGCCAGACUGCCUUCCUGCCUGCCUUAUUUCCUUUCUUCCUUCCUUCUUUUCAUAUUUAAAUUGUAUGUAUUUACUUGUGAGCAAGUGCAUGUCUGGAGGUAUAUGCCUACCUAUGAGUCAGUUCUCUCUUUCCACCAUGUGGGUGUGAAGGAUUGAAUUAAGGUCAUCAGAAUUGGCAGCAAGGGGUUUUGAUGACCCCUGGUGUGAGUAUUUCUUUUAGCCAGCAUCAUGACAUUGAUUGCUGAGAAUAUGGACGAUAUUCUUUUACGACAGAAAUGACAUCAGAUGUACCAUCGCUGGGUCCCACCAUUGCUUCUGGAAACCCUGGACCUGGGAUUCAAGGUGGAGGAGCUGUUGUACAGAGGGCUAUUAAGCGACGGUCAGGGUAAGUUUGAAUGUUUAUCAUCCGUGUGUUUCUCUUGUACCAUCAACUUUUGAGUUAGUUGCUGUUGGCUCUUGUUUAUUCCUGACCACACAUCUAAUUGAUUACUUACUAUACUGCUGUCACAUAACUAAAACUAACUCUUAGUCCCUGGAUUAUUCCUUAUCCAGGCUCUCUAUUUUAAGUAAAUUUCUUUAAUUUUUUUUGUAUAAUUUGAAUAUAAAUAUAGCUGUAAAGAAAAAAAUGAGGACUGGAGAGAUGGCUCAGUGGUUAAGAGCACUGAGGUCCUGAGUUCAAUUCCCAGCACCCACAUGGUGGCUCACAACCAUCUGUAAUAGAAUCGGAUGCCCUCGUCUGGUAUGUUUGAAGACAGCUACAGUGUGCUCAUACAUAAAUAAAUGUAUCUUAAAGGAAAGAAAAGGAUGAAACGGUCACACCUAUUACUUAUCAUCCGACCUCACUCACAGUGCCUGUAUGUCACGUAGGGUUUUGGCUUUUAUUACUUACAUCGUUUUCACAUAAAAAUUUCUAUACAGGUUAAAAAUUGUUUUCUAGUAUCUUUAUUGAUAAGCCUGUUUAAAAAAAAAAAAAACGAAGCCAAACCAAACCAAAAUUUUCUGAAAGGUAAAGGGACUGUGGCAAAGAAGAGUUUCACUGUUGGUAAAAACAAACAAACAAAACCAAACC
RNAcentral lists this long non-coding RNA (3678 nucleotides) under Mus musculus (house mouse). RNAcentral describes it as "long non-coding RNA chr3:95445489-95449167". The record is from RNAcentral. Lineage: Eukaryota; Metazoa; Chordata; Mammalia; Rodentia; Muridae.